This is a non-coding RNA of Pelobates cultripes (western spadefoot toad), 286 nucleotides long. NCBI's taxonomy places the organism in Eukaryota, Metazoa, Chordata, Amphibia, Anura, Pelobatidae. The record is from the annotation of a GenBank genome assembly.
AAAAAAAUUAAAUGAAGUAAAACGUAAAAUAGAUACUCAUUAAAAAAAAGUAAGUAGUUCAACAAUUCCAUUAAUCAAAUACAAUGAGCUAAACAGCUACCUAAAUUGAUAGCAAGUGAUCAUUAGUGUUCUGGCUUAGUAUAGAGGUGAGCUAUAUUGUUACUAUGAAACAAUGGAAGUUAUGUUAGUGUGUCUUACACCACCUGCACUGGCCCCUGUUCUAUCCUGAAUGCAACAGCAAGGAAAGGACAGUGUUGCCAAAAGUCACCCUAAAUGGAACCUAUAU